RNAcentral lists this ribosomal RNA (253 nucleotides) under uncultured bacterium. RNAcentral's name for it is "partial 16S ribosomal RNA". It matches the Rfam family "Bacterial small subunit ribosomal RNA", at positions 524 to 776 of the family's 1533-position model. The record is from RNAcentral.
UACGUAGGUGGCAAGCGUUGUCCGGAUUUACUGGGCGUAAAGAGCGCGCAGGCGGUCGUUCAAGUCGCGUGUGAAAGCCCCCGGCUCAACUGGGGAGGGUCACGCGAUACUGAUCGACUCGAAGGCAGGAGAGGGUAGUGGAAUUCCAGGUGUAGCGGUGAAAUGCGUAGAUAUCUGGAGGAACACCGGUGGCGAAGGCGGCAUCCUGGACCGACAUUGACGCUGAGGCGCGAAAGCCAGGGGAGCAAACGGG